Molecule: ribosomal RNA, 477 nt
Filed under: uncultured bacterium
Lineage: Bacteria
Description: partial 16S ribosomal RNA
Rfam family: Bacterial small subunit ribosomal RNA
Source: RNAcentral
AUUGAACGCUGGCGGCAUGCCUUACACAUGCAAGUCGAACGGUAACAGGUUAAGCUGACGGGUGGCGAACGGGUGAGUAAUGCAUCGGAAAGUGCACCGUAGUGGGGGAUAGCCCGGCGCAAGCCGGAUUCAUACCGCAUACGACCUAAGGGUGAAAGGGGGGGAUCGCAAGACCUAUCGCUAUUGGAGCGGCCGAUGUCAGAUUAGCUAGUUGGUGGGGUAAAAGCUCACCAAGGCGACGAUCUGUAGCUGGUCUGAGAGGACGACCAGCCACACUGGGACUGAGACACGGCCCAGACUCCUACGGGAGGCAGCAGUGGGGAAUUUUGGACAAUGGGCGCAAGCCUGAUCCAGCCAUGCCGCGUGCGGGAAGAAGGCCUUCGGGUUGUAAACCGCUUUUGUCAGGGAAGAAAUGCUUUGGGUUAAUACCUCGGGGGGAUGACGGUACCUGAAGAAUAAGCACCGGCUAACUACGUG